This 253-nucleotide ribosomal RNA is filed under the name uncultured bacterium. RNAcentral describes it as "partial 16S ribosomal RNA". It matches the Rfam family "Bacterial small subunit ribosomal RNA", at positions 524 to 776 of the family's 1533-position model. The record is from RNAcentral.
GACAGAGGUCCCGAGCGUUAGGCGGAAUCACUGGGCUUAAAGCGUGUGUAGGCGGAGUUCCAAGUACCUUGUGAAAUCCCACGGCUCAACCGUGGAACUGCUUGGCAUACUGGUUCUCUUGAGCCACCUAGGGGCAACCGGAACAAACGGUGGAGCGGUGAAAUGCGUAGAUAUCGUUUGGAACGCCAAUGGUGAAAACAGGUUGCUGGGGGUGUGCUGACGCUGAGACACGAAAGCCAGGGGAGCAAACGGG